UACUAGAGGACGUUUUAACAACUCGAGACGAUAAAAAAGAGAAUAGUAGAAAGAAGGAGAAGGGUGAAAAGCUGAAAGAAAUUUCACCACAUGAUGGACACGGGGUAAAGUCCAACACUAGGAAGCCCGCUAGGCCCCUUCAACUUCG
The submitters of this non-coding RNA (148 nucleotides) gave its source as unclassified sequences. The record is from Rfam.